Molecule: ribosomal RNA, 2903 nt
Filed under: Escherichia coli
Lineage: Bacteria; Pseudomonadati; Pseudomonadota; Gammaproteobacteria; Enterobacterales; Enterobacteriaceae
Description: bacterial LSU rRNA
Rfam family: Bacterial large subunit ribosomal RNA
Source: RNAcentral
UUAAGCGACUAAGCGUACACGGUGGAUGCCCUGGCAGUCAGAGGCGAUGAAGGACGUGCUAAUCUGCGAUAAGCGUCGGUAAGGUGAUAUGAACCGUUAUAACCGGCGAUUUCCGAAUGGGGAAACCCAGUGUGUUUCGACACACUAUCAUUAACUGAAUCCAUAGGUUAAUGAGGCGAACCGGGGGAACUGAAACAUCUAAGUACCCCGAGGAAAAGAAAUCAACCGAGAUUCCCCCAGUAGCGGCGAGCGAACGGGGAGCAGCCCAGAGCCUGAAUCAGUGUGUGUGUUAGUGGAAGCGUCUGGAAAGGCGCGCGAUACAGGGUGACAGCCCCGUACACAAAAAUGCACAUGCUGUGAGCUCGAUGAGUAGGGCGGGACACGUGGUAUCCUGUCUGAAUAUGGGGGGACCAUCCUCCAAGGCUAAAUACUCCUGACUGACCGAUAGUGAACCAGUACCGUGAGGGAAAGGCGAAAAGAACCCCGGCGAGGGGAGUGAAAAAGAACCUGAAACCGUGUACGUACAAGCAGUGGGAGCACGCUUAGGCGUGUGACUGCGUACCUUUUGUAUAAUGGGUCAGCGACUUAUAUUCUGUAGCAAGGUUAACCGAAUAGGGGAGCCGAAGGGAAACCGAGUCUUAACUGGGCGUUAAGUUGCAGGGUAUAGACCCGAAACCCGGUGAUCUAGCCAUGGGCAGGUUGAAGGUUGGGUAACACUAACUGGAGGACCGAACCGACUAAUGUUGAAAAAUUAGCGGAUGACUUGUGGCUGGGGGUGAAAGGCCAAUCAAACCGGGAGAUAGCUGGUUCUCCCCGAAAGCUAUUUAGGUAGCGCCUCGUGAAUUCAUCUCCGGGGGUAGAGCACUGUUUCGGCAAGGGGGUCAUCCCGACUUACCAACCCGAUGCAAACUGCGAAUACCGGAGAAUGUUAUCACGGGAGACACACGGCGGGUGCUAACGUCCGUCGUGAAGAGGGAAACAACCCAGACCGCCAGCUAAGGUCCCAAAGUCAUGGUUAAGUGGGAAACGAUGUGGGAAGGCCCAGACAGCCAGGAUGUUGGCUUAGAAGCAGCCAUCAUUUAAAGAAAGCGUAAUAGCUCACUGGUCGAGUCGGCCUGCGCGGAAGAUGUAACGGGGCUAAACCAUGCACCGAAGCUGCGGCAGCGACACUAUGUGUUGUUGGGUAGGGGAGCGUUCUGUAAGCCUGUGAAGGUGUGCUGUGAGGUAUGCUGGAGGUAUCAGAAGUGCGAAUGCUGACAUAAGUAACGAUAAAGCGGGUGAAAAGCCCGCUCGCCGGAAGACCAAGGGUUCCUGUCCAACGUUAAUCGGGGCAGGGUGAGUCGACCCCUAAGGCGAGGCCGAAAGGCGUAGUCGAUGGGAAACAGGUUAAUAUUCCUGUACUUGGUGUUACUGCGAAGGGGGGACGGAGAAGGCUAUGUUGGCCGGGCGACGGUUGUCCCGGUUUAAGCGUGUAGGCUGGUUUUCCAGGCAAAUCCGGAAAAUCAAGGCUGAGGCGUGAUGACGAGGCACUACGGUGCUGAAGCAACAAAUGCCCUGCUUCCAGGAAAAGCCUCUAAGCAUCAGGUAACAUCAAAUCGUACCCCAAACCGACACAGGUGGUCAGGUAGAGAAUACCAAGGCGCUUGAGAGAACUCGGGUGAAGGAACUAGGCAAAAUGGUGCCGUAACUUCGGGAGAAGGCACGCUGAUAUGUAGGUGAAGUCCCUCGCGGAUGGAGCUGAAAUCAGUCGAAGAUACCAGCUGGCUGCAACUGUUUAUUAAAAACACAGCACUGUGCAAACACGAAAGUGGACGUAUACGGUGUGACGCCUGCCCGGUGCCGGAAGGUUAAUUGAUGGGGUUAGCCGCAAGGCGAAGCUCUUGAUCGAAGCCCCGGUAAACGGCGGCCGUAACUAUAACGGUCCUAAGGUAGCGAAAUUCCUUGUCGGGUAAGUUCCGACCUGCACGAAUGGCGUAAUGAUGGCCAGGCUGUCUCCACCCGAGACUCAGUGAAAUUGAACUCGCUGUGAAGAUGCAGUGUACCCGCGGCAAGACGGAAAGACCCCGUGAACCUUUACUAUAGCUUGACACUGAACAUUGAGCCUUGAUGUGUAGGAUAGGUGGGAGGCUUUGAAGUGUGGACGCCAGUCUGCAUGGAGCCGACCUUGAAAUACCACCCUUUAAUGUUUGAUGUUCUAACGUUGACCCGUAAUCCGGGUUGCGGACAGUGUCUGGUGGGUAGUUUGACUGGGGCGGUCUCCUCCUAAAGAGUAACGGAGGAGCACGAAGGUUGGCUAAUCCUGGUCGGACAUCAGGAGGUUAGUGCAAUGGCAUAAGCCAGCUUGACUGCGAGCGUGACGGCGCGAGCAGGUGCGAAAGCAGGUCAUAGUGAUCCGGUGGUUCUGAAUGGAAGGGCCAUCGCUCAACGGAUAAAAGGUACUCCGGGGAUAACAGGCUGAUACCGCCCAAGAGUUCAUAUCGACGGCGGUGUUUGGCACCUCGAUGUCGGCUCAUCACAUCCUGGGGCUGAAGUAGGUCCCAAGGGUAUGGCUGUUCGCCAUUUAAAGUGGUACGCGAGCUGGGUUUAGAACGUCGUGAGACAGUUCGGUCCCUAUCUGCCGUGGGCGCUGGAGAACUGAGGGGGGCUGCUCCUAGUACGAGAGGACCGGAGUGGACGCAUCACUGGUGUUCGGGUUGUCAUGCCAAUGGCACUGCCCGGUAGCUAAAUGCGGAAGAGAUAAGUGCUGAAAGCAUCUAAGCACGAAACUUGCCCCGAGAUGAGUUCUCCCUGACCCUUUAAGGGUCCUGAAGGAACGUUGAAGACGACGACGUUGAUAGGCCGGGUGUGUAAGCGCAGCGAUGCGUUGAGCUAACCGGUACUAAUGAACCGUGAGGCUUAACCUU